Rosa rugosa (rugosa rose) is the source of this 443-nucleotide long non-coding RNA. RefSeq lists it as uncharacterized. The record is from RefSeq and is a predicted model, not a curated record. The transcript has 3 exons. NCBI's taxonomy places the organism in Eukaryota, Viridiplantae, Streptophyta, Magnoliopsida, Rosales, Rosaceae.
AUACUCUUGAUAUAUAUUUGUGCAUACUUGCUAGGAGUGUUGAGAGCAAAAUAUUUAUCUCAGAUAUACUGCAUGUAUAUCAACAAUGGAAACUUGGAGCAUUGACUUCAUGGAGCCUUGCUUAUUUACAGAAUGUCAUUGAACCAAAGGUGAUACAUCGAGACAUUAAGCAAAGGUUUCUUCUUGGCCACUAAGCACUUUGUAGUACCUUUCAAAUUUUCCACGAUCAGCCAUCCCAAGAUAUAUUCUAUAUGGCUGAUACUGACAUUGGUUUGCCAAAUCAAGUUUGACUGAUAAGGAAAUUGUUUUCUUCCAUAUUCACAUUGGUACUGACAUUACAGAUGAGAAAGAGCAGUUACUGACAUUGGUUUGCCAAAUCAAGUUUGAUAAGGAAAUUGAAUUCAAGAGGGAGUUGCCACCAGGUGAGAUAAUGGUAAAGCUGC